This 305-nucleotide ribosomal RNA is filed under the name uncultured bacterium. RNAcentral describes it as "bacterial SSU rRNA". It matches the Rfam family "Bacterial small subunit ribosomal RNA", at positions 336 to 639 of the family's 1533-position model. The record is from RNAcentral.
CUCCUACGGGAGGCAGCAGUGAGGAAUAUUGGUCAAUGGCCGGAAGGCUGAACCAGCCAAGCCGCGUGAAGGACGAAGGUGCCAAGCAUUGUAAACUUCUUUUGUCAAGGGACAAAAUCAGGCUCGAGAGCCUGACCGAGGGUACUUGAAGAAAAAGCAUCGGCUAACUCCGUGCCAGCAGCCGCGGUAAUACGGAGGAUGCGAGCGUUAUCCGGAUUUAUUGGGUUUAAAGGGUGCGUAUGCGGGCUGUUAAGUCAGCGGUAAGAGCCCGGGUCUCAACCCCGGCGAGCCGUAGAAACGUGCUG